RNAcentral lists this ribosomal RNA (497 nucleotides) under uncultured bacterium. RNAcentral describes it as "partial 16S ribosomal RNA". It matches the Rfam family "Bacterial small subunit ribosomal RNA", at positions 28 to 507 of the family's 1533-position model. The record is from RNAcentral.
GAUGAACGCUGGCGGCGUGCCUAAUACAUGCAAGUCGAGCGAACGGACGAGAAGCUUGCUUCUCUGAUGUUAGCGGCGGACGGGUGAGUAACACGUGGAUAACCUACCUAUAAGACUGGGAUAACUUCGGGAAACCGGAGCUAAUACCGGAUAAUAUUUUGAACCGCAUGGUUCAAAAGUGAAAGACGGUCUUGCUGUCACUUAUAGAUGGAUCCGCGCUGCAUUCGCUAGUUGGUAAGGUAACGGCUUACCAAGGCAACGAUGCAUAGCCGACCUGAGGGGGUGGUCGGCUACACUGGAACUGAGACACGGUCCAGACUCCUACGGGAGGCAGCAGUAGGGAAUCUUCCGCAAUGGGCGAAAGCCUGACGGAGCAACGCCGCGUGAGUGAUGAAGGUCUUCGGAUCGUAGAACUCUGUUAUUAGGGAAGAACAAAUGUGUAAGUAACUGUGCACAUCUUGACGGUACCUAAUCAAAAAGCCACGGCUAACUACGUG